Molecule: ribosomal RNA, 468 nt
Filed under: uncultured bacterium
Lineage: Bacteria
Description: partial 16S ribosomal RNA
Rfam family: Bacterial small subunit ribosomal RNA
Source: RNAcentral
GACGAACGCUGGCGGCGUGCUUAACACAUGCAAGUCGAACGGAAAGGCCCUGCUUUUGUGGGGUGCUCGAGUGGCGAACGGGUGAGUAACACGUGAGUAACCUGCCCUUGACUUUGGGAUAACUUCAGGAAACUGGGGCUAAUACCGGAUAGGAGCUCCUGCUGCAUGGUGGGGGUUGGAAAGUUUCGGCGGUUGGGGAUGGACUCGCGGCUUAUCAGCUUGUUGGUGGGGUAGUGGCUUACCAAGGCUUUGACGGGUAGCCGGCCUGAGAGGGUGACCGGCCACAUGGCGACUGAGAUACGGCCCAGAGUCCUACGGGAGGCAGCAGUGGGGAAUAUGGCACAAUGGGCGGGAGCGUGAUGAAGCAACGCCGCGUGCGGGAUGACGGCCUUCGGGUUGUAAACCGCUGUCGCCUGUGACGAAGCGUGAGUGACGGUAAUGGGUAAAGAAGCACCGGCUAACUACGUG